RNAcentral lists this transfer RNA (88 nucleotides) under Verrucomicrobiota bacterium. RNAcentral describes it as "Verrucomicrobia bacterium (groundwater metagenome) tRNA-Ser". It matches the Rfam family "tRNA". Rfam says of the family: Transfer RNA (tRNA) molecules are approximately 80 nucleotides in length. Their secondary structure includes four short double-helical elements and three loops (D, anti-codon, and T loops). Further hydrogen bonds mediate the characteristic L-shaped molecular structure. tRNAs have two regions of fundamental functional importance: the anti-codon, which is responsible for specific mRNA codon recognition, and the 3' end, to which the tRNAs corresponding amino acid is attached (by aminoacyl-tRNA synthetases). tRNAs cope with the degeneracy of the genetic code in two manners: having more than one tRNA (with a specific anti-codon) for a particular amino acid; and 'wobble' base-pairing, i.e. permitting non-standard base-pairing at the 3rd anti-codon position. Lineage: Bacteria; Pseudomonadati; Verrucomicrobiota. The record is from RNAcentral.
GGAGAGGUGGCAGAGUGGUCUAACGCGCCUGACUCGAAAUCAGGAGUACCGCAAGGUACCGUAGGUUCGAAUCCUAUCCUCUCCGCCA